RNAcentral lists this ribosomal RNA (126 nucleotides) under Berkeleyomyces basicola. Its description in RNAcentral is "partial 18S ribosomal RNA". It matches the Rfam family "Eukaryotic small subunit ribosomal RNA", at positions 1710 to 1831 of the family's 1831-position model. Lineage: Eukaryota; Fungi; Ascomycota; Sordariomycetes; Microascales; Ceratocystidaceae. The record is from RNAcentral.
UCGGACUGGCCCAGGGAGAGGUGGGAAACUACCCCUCAUGGCCGGAAAGCUGCUCAAACUCGGUCAUCUAGAGGAAGUAAAAGUCGUAACAAGGUCUCCGUUGGUGAACCAGCGGAGGGAUCAUUA